UAAAUAGUACAUUAGAUAAACCCAUACCCUUUAGACAAGAACAACAAGAGUGGAUCCCGUAGAGUACUACGGAUGCGUAGGGGUGCUAAUACCUUCCCUUCGCAUAAUCGACUCACGAACCCAAGAUUUGGUUGCGAGACCUUGUCUUUUCCUUCCCUUUUUCCAGGUUUACUUCGAGCGUUUCCUUUCCCUCCUUUGGGAUAAAUAACGCACGAUGGCGACUCUUUUGUCUUUUCUUUU
This 240-nucleotide long non-coding RNA is filed under the name Lathyrus oleraceus (garden pea). RNAcentral's name for it is "Pisum sativum (pea) long non-coding RNA (PSAT_LNC015066)". Lineage: Eukaryota; Viridiplantae; Streptophyta; Magnoliopsida; Fabales; Fabaceae. The record is from RNAcentral.